AAGAGCAUAAUUUAAAAGGAAAAAUAGGAAACUCCAAACUUCAAAUCCUCAGUUCAAGUCUGAGUGCUCUUG
This 72-nucleotide transfer RNA is filed under the name Spathularia flavida. RNAcentral's name for it is "tRNA-Trp". It matches the Rfam family "tRNA". From Rfam's summary of the family: Transfer RNA (tRNA) molecules are approximately 80 nucleotides in length. Their secondary structure includes four short double-helical elements and three loops (D, anti-codon, and T loops). Lineage: Eukaryota; Fungi; Ascomycota; Leotiomycetes; Rhytismatales; Cudoniaceae. The record is from RNAcentral.